RNAcentral lists this small RNA (464 nucleotides) under Pongo abelii (Sumatran orangutan). RNAcentral describes it as "retained intron". The record is from RNAcentral. Lineage: Eukaryota; Metazoa; Chordata; Mammalia; Primates; Hominidae.
GCGGCCGCGAUGGGUGGCGCCAUGGUCCUGCUCUAUGCCAGCCGGGCCUGCUACAACCUGACAGCACUGGCCUUGGCCCCCCAGAGCCGGCUGGACACCUUCGAUUACGACUGGUACAAUGUGUCUGACCAGGUGGGCAUACGCAUGUCUGCCACCUCCUUAGUAGCUGUGGCACCUUGGCCCCAGCUGGCCUGGGCCGUGUCCCACUACCCCUUUGGCAUGACUGCAGACUGGCACCAGCCCCUGCCUUCCCACAGGCGGACCUGGUGAAUGACCUGGGGAACAAAGGCUACCUGGUAUUUGGCCUCAUCCUCUUUGUGUGGGAGCUGCUGCCCACCACCCUGCUGGUGGGCUUCUUCCGGGUGCACCGGCCCCCACAGGACCUGAGCACCAGCCACAUCCUCAAUGGGCAGGUCUUUGCCUCUCGGUCCUACUUCUUUGACCGGGCUGGGCACUGUGAAGAU